GACGAACGCUGGCGGCGUGCUUAACACAUGCAAGUCGAACGGAAAGGCCCUGCUUUUGUGGGGUGCUCGAGUGGCGAACGGGUGAGUAACACGUGAGUAACCUGCCCUUGACUUUGGGAUAACUUCAGGAAACUGGGGCUAAUACCGGAUAGGAGCUCCUGCUGCAUGGUGGGGGUUGGAAAGUUUCGGCGGUUGGGGAUGGACUCGCGGCUUAUCAGCUUGUUGGUGGGGUAGUGGCUUACCAAGGCUUUGACGGGUAGCCGGCCUGAGAGGAUGACCGGCCACAUUGGGACUGAGAUACGGCCCAGACUCCUACGGGAGGCAGCAGUGGGGAAUAUUGCACAAUGGGCGGAAGCCUGAUGCAGCAACGCCGCGUGCGGGAUGAAGGCCUUCGGGUUGUAAACCGCUUUCGCCUGUGACGAAGCGUGAGUGACGGUAAUGGGUAAAGAAGCACCGGCUAACUACGUG
This 468-nucleotide ribosomal RNA is filed under the name uncultured bacterium. RNAcentral describes it as "partial 16S ribosomal RNA". It matches the Rfam family "Bacterial small subunit ribosomal RNA", at positions 28 to 507 of the family's 1533-position model. The record is from RNAcentral.